GAAUUGACGGGGGCCCGCACAAGCAGCGGAGCAUGUGGUUUAAUUCGAAGCAACGCGAAGAACCUUACCAGGGCUUGACAUCCCUCUGACGUAUCUGGAGACAGGUAUUCCCUUCGGGGCAGAGGAGACAGGUGGUGCAUGGUUGUCGUCAGCUCGUGUCGUGAGAUGUUGGGUUAAGUCCCGCAACGAGCGCAACCCUUGUCGUUAGUUGCCAGCACGUAAAGGUGGGCACUCUAGCGAGACUGCCGGCGAUAAGUCGGAGGAAGGUGGGGAUGACGUCAAAUCAUCAUGCCCCUUAUGUCCUGGGCUACACACGUACUACAAUGGCGACCACAAAGGGAAGCAAUACCGCGAGGUGGAGCAAAUCCCCAAAAGUCGCCCCAGUUCAGAUUGCAGGCUGCAACUCGCCUGCAUGAAGGCGGAAUUGCUAGUAAUGGCAGGUCAGCAUACUGCCGUGAAUACGUUCCCGGGCCUUGUACACACCG
RNAcentral lists this ribosomal RNA (485 nucleotides) under uncultured Clostridium sp. Its description in RNAcentral is "bacterial SSU rRNA". It matches the Rfam family "Bacterial small subunit ribosomal RNA", at positions 907 to 1392 of the family's 1533-position model. The record is from RNAcentral. Lineage: Bacteria; Bacillati; Bacillota; Clostridia; Eubacteriales; Clostridiaceae.